ACACCAGAAAAGAUAAUUUUACCUUAAAAUUUAAAUUUAAUUUUAAUGAAAAGUUUAAAAUUUGAUUUUUAGACGAUAAGACCCUAUGAAGCUUCAUUAUUAUUAAUUUUUUUGGGGAAAACCAUAAUUUAUUUAUUAUUACUAUGGCAUAUAUUGAUCUUUUGGAAUUACAAGAAUAAGCUACUCUAGGGAUAACAGCAUAAUUUUUAUUAAAGUUCCUAUUGAAAUAAAAGAUUGUGACCUCGAUGUUGAAUUAAGAAAUAUAAUUUGUGUAGCAGCUAAUUAUUCCUAGUCUGUUCGACUAUAUUAUCUUACAUGAUCUGAGUUCAAACCGGA
This 336-nucleotide ribosomal RNA is filed under the name Hemidiaptomus ingens. Its description in RNAcentral is "partial 16S ribosomal RNA". The stretch from base 72 to 336 matches the Rfam family "Bacterial large subunit ribosomal RNA", at positions 2079 to 2620 of the family's 2925-position model. Lineage: Eukaryota; Metazoa; Arthropoda; Copepoda; Calanoida; Diaptomidae. The record is from RNAcentral.